Long non-coding RNA from Myiozetetes cayanensis, 3882 nucleotides. RefSeq lists it as uncharacterized. Lineage: Eukaryota; Metazoa; Chordata; Aves; Passeriformes; Tyrannidae. The record is from RefSeq and is a predicted model, not a curated record. The transcript has 4 exons.
CCAUCUGCGUGACAUGCGGGAUGAGAAACACUUUUCUCUCGGUGAGAAGAGGAGAAAGCACACGGUCACACGGUGUGGUCAAGAAUCUAUUUUUUUUCUGGGACUGAAAAUAUCCCUUUCACCUCUGUGAGAAGUUUUCAUCUGAGGCAAAUGAAAAAUAUUCCAUCCCCUUCCCACCCCCCAUCUCACCAACUUCAUAAAGAACAAGAGGAAUGAGACUUGGAGAGAAAUUGUCCUGAAAAGGUCAACCAUUUUCAACGUGUCCAAAGCAAUGAGGGAUUUCCAGUGAAUUAUAUUCCUUAAGGAAAGCCAGAGAUGUGGGGACAAGAACUGAAGGUGUGACUUAAGCUGAGGUCACCACAAACAGCGACAGAAAGUCCAGCCUUAGGCUGAGCAAAUUCCACCUCAGAGAAACCACACAAGGAAAUGCAUCCACCAAAUGAUAGAAGCAAACAGCCAUUGUAAACACAUCUUUUCCAUGAGCCUCAUGAAGUGCUUUACCUGAAUUUAUAACACUCUUGAAAUCAGCUUUAGGUCAAACACAGCUCAUGCAAAUUUCAGCCUGUAACUUUUUGCCCAACAUUAACACAGUUGUUGCUGCCUGGUGGGGAUAUCAAAGAUGGUAUGAACCUGCCUUUCAAGUCCGAGUCAUUGUGACAGGCCACACAAAGUCACUGCUUCUAGUUCUGAGGACAAAGACCUUGCAUGUUUGCCACCUGCUUCAAACCUUUCCAAUACAUUCCUAUGGAAAUGCUACCUUGGGAAAAAUACGGUUGGGCAUAUUUGUUGUUUGGGCAGCAACCCCUUUCAGUUCUAGCUCUUAAAAACUAUUUCUGCCAUGAUAAAUCAAUCCUUUGUGGAGAAGGCUGAUCAAGCCUUAAUUUGCACAGAUUAAUGCAUCCACACAAUACCAGUAUUCAAGAAAGAGUUUCUCUGUUCUGCCAGUGUGGGUAUUUCUGCUGGGCCAGGCUGUGCCAUGAGUAUUGCUCAACUGGUUUGUGUGGUGAAUGGACAUCACACCACUGGUGAAGCUGCAUUUCCACCUGUGAUAAGAACAUCAAAGCCAAACUCUCACAAAUGGGUAGCAGACUUAAAUAUUAAGUUGAUUUGUUAGUCCCACACUUUUAUAUUUUAAAAGUGCACACUUGGGAGAAAGUCUGAAAGCUGUCGUCUUCUCACUAAUCAUUGAAAUGAGACACUGCUUCAUGCAGUGAAAACGUGCCAAAAGGGAAGAACCUGUUUGAACAUUUGCUGCUACUAUGAAGUUUUAUCAGACAGGGAUGACACCAGAUGGCAUUUCUCACCCUUCAGGUGCAACCUGAGCCAGUAGCAGAGUAACAGAUCUCCUCCAUUGUUAUCCAGGCAUCUCCUCUUCCCAACCUUCUGUAUAUCAAUUUUUCCUUACCUCAUGUAACUCACCACUAGAGGAUCACUGCUUCAUUUACUGGAAAAAAAAAUUAUAUAGUGAAUGAGAAAUGGUUUUAAGGAAAAACUGCACAAGUCUGAUGAUUCAAGUCAUUGAAAGCAGCUGUGAAGAAGAGGAUUCUGAACUUGCCUCUAACAGAAAUCCACUGCAAUGCUCUCCAAUUUAAUAGCUGGGCACUAGUGUUAUUUUCCCUCAUUUUUCUGGACUCGCAAUUUUAAACCAUAAAGGUUUAUUCACCAAUGCACUGGGUACCUGCAGCUGCAAUCAAAGGUAAUAGGACUUUUAUUUUGAGCAUAUUAAUUGAUACAUAAUGCUAAGUACUCUAAAGUAAAUAAAUAAAUAAAUAAGUCAUCUUAGGCACCCUGUAUUGGACAGCAGCAUAAAAGGACACAUUUUUCCUGUGACUCACUUUCUUCCCUAUAAAACACUAAUAAUUUUUAAUGUGGAUGUGUCACAUUACAGUGAAUGGCAUAAGAGUGUCCAUUAGGAAAUUAGGCAACCUGUCUUCAGGAAAUGCUUUCAACUGUCAUGAAGUAACGUGUGGCACAGAGCCACACUUGGGCAUGAUGGAGCAAAAGAAUAUUAAAUAGCUGCUCUCCACCUGCAUCUGGCCAGCCCAUACACAUAAACAAGUCAGGAGCAUUAGAACAAAAAGGAUGUUAUUAAUCAUGUAAUUUAAAACUGUGUUUAGGGGAUAAUUUGACCAAAUAAUAAAUAAAUAAGAAUUAAGACUGCAGACGUAAUCACCUUGGGAUUUCAAAAUUUGAACACUUGGCUUUCUUAUUUAAUACAAUUUUUAUUUCUGUAUCCCUGAAGUCAGAGGCACAAAUUCCACCUCCUGCCAUUACUGGCAGCCCUGUUGUGUGCCACUGUAAAUUUUUCUAACUUCCAGGACCAUUCAGGACUCUUCAGAAGCCAACUCAGACAGAAGCAGCCACUUCCAGACCUAGAAUACAAGACACAGCCUUUCCCUGAUGGGUUGUAGCAGCAAAGAAAGGCCAGCUCCAAUCUGGUUAAUACUGACUGUUGAAUCCACCAGCUCUGCCACUGAACAGGAUACAACUGGAGUUGUCCCUCUCACUGGAUCCUUUCCCAGUUAGAAACUAGAGAAAGAAUGUAUGCCAUUGCUAUGCUAAUUUUGAGAAGGAAAAAAAAAACCACCAACCACCUAAAAACUGUGUUGUUAAGAGUCCAAAUAACUUAAGAUGCAAGAAGUCUCAGAGUGAGUCCAUUUAAUGGUCCAAAUAAAGUCCAUACAGGGGUCCUUCAACCAUUAGAAAAGUUAUGGUUUUUGUUAAUUUUGAUGUUUUAUGACUUCUAGUGACCCUGAUGUUUUGUUCAAAGUCAUUUUUGAAUUUUCAAAAAGCCAUAAAGCCCUCUGUUAACAGUUUCUCCAAACUGUAAGUGGAAAGUUUACCAUUAAAGUGGUAAAACACAAAGAUUUGGUGGUCUGACUAUUUUUAAACAGACCUUUUUCUGAGCAGUUCAAUCCUGCCAUACAUCACUCGAAGCCAGUAAAGGACUUCAUUGACACAGUAAUCUUCGGUGUAAAAUACCAGGUUCUGCAGAGAUAAUUCAUUUUGCAAAGUUUUCACUGGAAGUAAGUUCCAUAUCUCCAGGAUAAAUUUAUUAAUAUUGCCAGAUAGUUACAGCCUACAUCCCAGUAGCAGAGGAAUUAGAACUUGGAGCCAGCCACAUUUGAGAACAGCUAAGUGAAGUGGGUUCACAAUGCAGAUUUUUCAAAUUUAUGUGCAUGAAAAGUAAAGAGCUUCUUUCCUGCCCCUGUAUUUUCAAAGUGGUUAUCAGAAUAACAUUUUUCUACGUGGGUUCUUAUUAUAGAGAGCACAGCCAUCCGUGUUUGCAAAUCAUGUAACACCCUCUUUCCUUUGCAACAAGGGUGCAAGUAAUGUUGCUUGUCAACACCAAGGAGAGGAUAAAAUAAGUAUAGGGAGACAUAUCUUACAUAGAAAACAUUUUGGAAAGAAAAUCAUUUUAGUCAUCCUCAGGUGGGUAACAGUCCUCACUUCAUUUUUCCCCCAGAGAUUUAUUACUAGAAUUAGUGUUAAUCUCAAUAAAACUACAGUAUUUCUGCUAAUCCACCAGAAAGUAUCAAAGUUAAAAAGAGCUCAUGAUUUAUCAUGCACACCAUAGUACAGUUUUAUAACAUUUUUAUUAUUUUCAAAGCCUUCUAGGAUGUUCCUUAUCAAGAUGUGACAUAAUUCUUCCCAUAGCUCAGUUGUCUCGUUAUGGUGCUGCAGUACAUGAUAAAGAAAAUAAUUUAUAGUUGGAGAUAAACUUACUGUGUCUGGCUUUCCAUUUUAAUAAAAUUUACAACAGCGUUUGGAGAAACUGCAGUGUCAGAUUUCAUUGACUGUGGAAAAAAAAAUAUACUAGGAGCUAAGAUUGACUUUAUGCCCAUUUAGAUAUUUUGUAUAGCAGUCAUGGAAGCAGGCUGU